UUUUCACUAUCAAAACACGAGAGCCGGUAAACCCACCUGGCAAUAGGAAUUGGAUUGUACAGUCCUAAAUUCCGAGUCUCUGCACGCCAUCUCUUCCUUGUGUAGGACGGUAGCUUUACCUUUAUACCAAAUAAAGGUAAAAACCAUAACCAUCUCAUAUUUGUUGUAUGCGUUGGCGAAUACGUGCAUGAGUUUGUGCUUGACUGUACUAAUGCAGGAACCAUGGAAUUUUAUUUUAACCAUGGCAAUUAUUGAAGGUUGAGAAGGGAAGGGAAGGUAUAGACCAAGCGUAAUGAACUUCUGAAAGGUAAACAGUUUAGUCACGUUUGGUAAGUGAGGAAUAAUUGGACCUCCUGAAACACGUGUGUCAAUUUCGCAAAGUGGACACCUUGCAAUAUCCAAACCAUUUCAAAGCUUGGCCAAAUAUUUCUUGCACUCUGGACUAGUUAGAGAUUGACUACCAUAACAAAAUAAUUUUUUAAUACAAAUUAUUUUUUUCAGACAAAUUAAAAUCCUGAUAUGAUGGCGAACGAAUCGAACCUAAAAGAUAAAAAGAUGGAAGUGGAGAAUCAGAUGAUAAAUAUACAGAGUGCAGUGGCGGGAUUCGAUCAACUUUUUUCUUAGUAAUUAAGCAGAUGGAUUAUUAUAUAAACCCAGUAAAUUAAGCUUAUACGUAGAAAGACAUAAGGGCCUUGCUGUACCCGAGAGAAUUAAUGAAGAAGGAGAAGUUCCAAUCUCCCUCAAAGGCUUCCAAUAUUCCAGGCUAAUCAUAAGAUUUAUCUAAGAAUUUUGGGAGCCUUUGAAGGGGAUUGAAGGCUUACUCCAUCCCACCAAUAAUAAGUUUAUAAGUAGUUUUCUUUCAUCACCAUCAGCAAAAGAGAAUCAUGCAUGAUACACUAUUCUUUGUUGCUAUCUGGAUUCGUUUGUGAUGCACUUGUGUCAUGAAUUGCAAUUGCAUGCAUGCAUAUUAACUAUUAUCUAUUAUGGGAGAACGCAAAUGUCUGCAGAAAUCGAAGUUGCAUGUUAGUUAAUUCCUAGGAAAAACUCAGUGUACAAGCAUGUUUUAGUGGGAGUCCUACUAAGAUAUCACUCGAGUAUCAUCCUCCUAUGAAAGCUGCAAUUUUUUUCAGGUCUUGUAUUUAAAUUAUUUAUUUAUUACUUAAUCAAUUAUAUAUAUAAAUAUUAAUAAUAGAAAAAUAUUUAUUUAAGCCCAUUCUACGUAGACUAACCCACAAUAAUUAUAAUGAGAUAAGUGAAAUUCAUAUAUCUGAUUAAAAAAAGAAAAAAAAGGACCCUUAUAUUAAAGAGGUAGAAAAUUUGCCUCUACUUCUGCUCACAUAAUUAAGUUCAUAAUAUGCAAUAACAGAAGUCACAGAACAGCUUUCAAGAGAGAAGCAUGUAUAAGCCUAGCCAGCUAGUUUGAUGAUAAGUUUACCUUUCACUCCUCUUUCUGCAAUAGAGUAACUAAUUUCAUUAAGGAUGCUUAAUCAUAUGCAAAUUACAGCUCUCAUGAUUUGAAAGGAAAGUUGAGUUCACUUCUUUUUGCGUCUUUAUGCAGGAUUUAUUUUUCAAGACAGUUGGAAAAUUCUUGUUUCCCCUCCAAUUAACACACAUAGAAAGAUUACAUGUGCAUGCCAAUGCUUCCCCUCUUCCAUUUUCUCGAUAUAUUCCAAAG
RNAcentral lists this long non-coding RNA (1675 nucleotides) under Manihot esculenta (cassava). Its description in RNAcentral is "long non-coding RNA (MESC_LNC000815)". The stretch from base 725 to 819 matches the Rfam family "MIR477 microRNA precursor family". The record is from RNAcentral. Lineage: Eukaryota; Viridiplantae; Streptophyta; Magnoliopsida; Malpighiales; Euphorbiaceae.